Molecule: ribosomal RNA, 402 nt
Filed under: uncultured Gram-positive bacterium
Lineage: Bacteria
Description: bacterial SSU rRNA
Rfam family: Bacterial small subunit ribosomal RNA
Source: RNAcentral
CGUCAUCCCCACCUUCCUCACGGUUUACACCGGCAGUCUCGCUAGAGUCCUCAGCUUUACCUGCUAGUAACUAACGAUAGGGGUUGCGCAAGCCUGAUGCAGCAACGCCGCGUGAGCGAUGAAGGCCUUCGGGUCGUAAAGCUCUGUCCUCAAGGAAGAAUAAAUGACGGUACUUGAGGAGGAAGCCCCGGCUAACUACGUGCCAGCAGCCGCGGUAAUACGUAGGGGGCAAGCGUUAUCCGGAAUCACUGGGCGUAAAGGGUGCGUAGGCGGUUUUUCAAGUCAGAAGUGAAAGGCUAUGGCUCAACCAUAGUAAGCUUUUGAAACUGUAAAACUUGAGUGCAGGAGAGGAAAGUGGAAUUCCUAGUGUAGAGGUGAAAUUCGUAGAUAUUAGGAGGAACA